This 301-nucleotide ribosomal RNA is filed under the name uncultured bacterium. Its description in RNAcentral is "partial 16S ribosomal RNA". It matches the Rfam family "Bacterial small subunit ribosomal RNA", at positions 509 to 807 of the family's 1533-position model. The record is from RNAcentral.
CAGCCGCCACGGUAAUACGGAGGGGGCUAGCGUUGUUCGGAAUUACUGGGCGUAAAGCGCACGUAGGCGGCAUGGUAAGUUAGAGGUGAAAGCCUGGAGCUCAACUCCAGAAUUGCCUUUAAGACUGCCGAGCUAGCAGGUGAGAGAGGUAAGUGGAAUUCCGAGUGUAGAGGUGAAAUUCGUAGAUAUUCGGAAGAACACCAGUGGCGAAGGCGGCUUACUGGCUCAUACUGGACGCUGAGGUGCGAAAGCGUGGGGAGCAAACAGGAUUAGAUACCCCUGUAGUCCCUGUCUCUUAUAC